RNAcentral lists this ribosomal RNA (435 nucleotides) under Triticum aestivum (bread wheat). Its description in RNAcentral is "partial small subunit ribosomal RNA". The record is from RNAcentral. Lineage: Eukaryota; Viridiplantae; Streptophyta; Magnoliopsida; Poales; Poaceae.
AUGGCACCCAAGGCGGCGGAGAAGAAGCCGGUGGCCACGGCCGAGAAGACGACGGCGGGGAAGAAGCCCAAGGCGGAGAAGCGGGCGCCGGCGUCCAAGGAGGCCGGCGGCGAGGCGAAGCAGCGGGGCAGGAAGAAGGGCAGCAAGGCGAAGAAGAGCGUGGAGACGUACAAGAUCUACAUCUUCAAGGUGUUGAAGCAGGUGCACCCGGACGUGGGCAUCUCCUCCAAGGCCAUGUCCAUCAUGAACUCCUUCAUCAACGACAUCUUCGAGAAGCUCGCCGGGGAGUCGGCCAAGCUGGCCCGCUACAACAAGAAGCCCACCAUCACGUCCCGGGAGAUCCAGACCUCCGUCCGCCUCGUCCUCCCCGGGGAGCUCGCCAAGCACGCCGUCUCCGAGGGCACCAAGGCCGUCACCAAGUUCACCUCCUCCUAG